Ananas comosus (pineapple) is the source of this 830-nucleotide long non-coding RNA. RefSeq lists it as uncharacterized. The transcript is spliced from 3 exons. Lineage: Eukaryota; Viridiplantae; Streptophyta; Magnoliopsida; Poales; Bromeliaceae. The record is from RefSeq and is a predicted model, not a curated record.
UAUAACUUUAAUAUCUGGCCCUUUAGUUUUGUUGGUUUUUAGAUUUAAUUGUUCGAGUAAUCUUAAGGAUAUGAUUGUGAAUAAGAAACUAACAAAUGCUAAUCCAUUGAUUAACGGAUUUGCAUAUUGUAUGAUCACUUGCUUGUCUGUUUCUCAUUGAAACAUAAACCGUAUUGUAUUAGUAUUGUCAUUUGUGUCUUCUAUUGUUGGCCCUUUAGUCCCCUUCGACCAGUGUUGCAUCGACCAUUUUAAUUAAUUCAUGGAGGCAAAUGUUUAUAAGGGGUUUCCGGCAUUUUAGCUUUAGUGCGUUAGUUAAUUUUGUACCUUAGUUUGUCCUGAUACUUUUCUCACAUGUUUCCUGUAUUAGGCUUUAAAUGCUCAUGGGUGAAAAUGUCACUGAAAGACUUCUGGUUGCCUUGUUAUCCGAGUUCACGACCAAUUUCUAUUGAAGUUAAUCAUUAAAAAUUUCAUCUUGUUCUUGAUGAUUCGAGUGCUCGUUACGACAAAGUUGCACAAAAUGCAGGAUGUUCUAGUUCUUUUUUGUACACCUCAGUUUCGUGACAUGGGGUUCGUAUACUGACGGUUGAUCGAGGUGAGGGGGACCGCGCAGUAGUUAGCAUCCUCUACCAGCAUGCCUAUACAGUAGAGGACCACCAGAUAGAGUGCUAUUCUGUACAACUUGCUUGCACUGGCAAGGGUCUGGGCUGUUUACGUGUACUUUUCUUUUGAGGUUGAGCUUUAUUUGGUGUAGUUCAUAUUGUACGACAACAUAGUUUGGAAAUAGCGCUCUGAUACAGGUUAUUUGUUUAUUCGUACUUCUUCUUGAUUCA